AGACAACUUCUUACUUUGUUGCCCAGGCUGAAGUGCAGUGAUGCGAUCACGGCUCACUGCAGCCUCGACCUCCCAGGCUCAAGCGAUCCUCCCACCUCAACAUCCCAAGUAGCUGGGACUCCAAACGCGUGCCACUAUGCCCGGCUAAGUUUUGUAUUUUUAGUAGAGAUGGAGUUUUGCCAUGUUGCCCCGGCUGGUCUCGGACUCCUGGGCUCAAGCAAUCUGCCUGCCUCUGUCUCCUGAAGUGUUGUGAUUACAGGCAUGAGCCACCGCACCUGGCCAAGAUGCUUUUUCUGUUUCUGAGAUACAAUGAACUAUAUCUUAAGAAUUCAUAAAGCCCUAAAAAGUAAAUAUUUACAACCAGAAAUCUUUCUGACAAAGAAACAAGAUUACUCAAAGCUCUCUAUGGUGGCAAAUUAUUUCAGCACUAAAUCAUGAAGGCUGGAUUCUUGAAGCCUGGCAGAGGCAAAUGUCUCAUUAAUGCUGAUCUGAGAGACAUCUGUGAUGAGCCUGAACAUCAGGCCAAUCUGCAGAGCUGAUCAGGGGCUGCUGAGUGGUUCUGAAGUGAGUCAGGCUGUGAAUGAAGACUCCACCAGAAUGAGGAGAAUUCCAUGCAUGGAGAUUCAAAUAAAGACAAAAGGGAGAUGCAACUAUGGAGGCUGAGAAGUCCCACCAUCGGAGCGCCUCUGCCCCGCCGCCCCAUCUGGGAUGUGAGGAGCGCCUCUGCCCGGCCGAGACCCCGUCUGGGAGGUGAGGAGCGUCUCUGCCCGGCCGCCCCGUCUGAGAAGUGAGGAGACCCUCUGCCUGGCAACCACCCCGUCUGAGAAGUGAGGAGCCCCUCCGCCCGGCAGCUGCCCCGUCUGAGAAGUGAGGAGCCUCUCCGCCCGGCAGCCACCCCAUCUGGGAAGUGAGGAGCGUCUCCGCCCGGCAGCCACCCCGUCCGGGAGGGAGGUGGGGGGGGGUCAGCCCCCCGCCCGGCCAGCCGCCCCAUCCGGGAGGGAGGUGGGGGGUCAGCCCCCCCGCCCGGCCAGCCGUGCCAUCCGGGAGGGAGGUGGGGGGGUCAGCCCCCCGCCUGGCCAGCCGUGCCGUCCGGGAGGGAGGUGGGGGGGUCAGCCCCCCGUCCGGCCAGCCGCCCCGUCCGGGAGGUGAGGGGCGCCUCUGCCCGGCCGCCCCUACUGGGAAGUGAGGAGCCCCUCAGCCCGGCCAGCCACCCCGUCCGGGAGGGAGAUGGGGGGGUCAGCCCCCCCACCCGGCCAGCCGCCCCGUCCGGGAGGGAGGUAGGGGGGUCAGCCCCCCGCCUGGCCAGCCGCCCCGUCCGGGAGGGAGGUGGGGGGGUCAGCCCUCCGCCCGGCCAGCCGCCCCGUCUGGGAGGUGAGGGGCGCCUCUGCCCAGCCGCCCCUACUGGGAAGUGAGG
RNAcentral lists this long non-coding RNA (1414 nucleotides) under Homo sapiens (human). RNAcentral's name for it is "HSALNT0210310". The record is from RNAcentral. Lineage: Eukaryota; Metazoa; Chordata; Mammalia; Primates; Hominidae.